Molecule: ribosomal RNA, 497 nt
Filed under: uncultured bacterium
Lineage: Bacteria
Description: partial 16S ribosomal RNA
Rfam family: Bacterial small subunit ribosomal RNA
Source: RNAcentral
GAUGAACGCUGGCGGCGUGCCUAAUACAUGCAAGUCGAGCGAACAGACGAGGAGCUUGCUCCUCUGACGUUAGCGGCGGACGGGUGAGUAACACGUGGAUAACCUACCUAUAAGACUGGGAUAACUUCGGGAAACCGGAGCUAAUACCGGAUAAUAUAUUGAUCCGCAUGGUUCAAUAGUGAAAGACGGUUUUGCUGUCACUUAUAGAUGGAUCCGCGCCGCAUUAGCUAGUUGGUAAGGUAACGGCUUACCAAGGCAACGAUGCGUAGCCGACCUGAGAGGGUGAUCGGCCACACUGGAACUGAGACACGGACCAGACUCCUACGGGAGGCAGCAGUAGGGAAUCUUCCGCAAUGGGCGAAAGCCUGACGGAGCAACGCCGCGUGAGUGAUGAAGGUCUUCGGAUCGUAAAACUCUGUUAUUAGGGAAGAACAAAUGUGUAAGUAACUAUGCACGUCUUGACGGUACCUAAUCAGAAAGCCACGGCUAACUACGUG